Molecule: ribosomal RNA, 382 nt
Filed under: uncultured eukaryote
Lineage: Eukaryota
Description: partial 18S ribosomal RNA
Rfam family: Eukaryotic small subunit ribosomal RNA
Source: RNAcentral
UGUAAGCGUAUACCAAAGUUGUUGCAGUUAAAACGCUCGUAGUCGGAAUUUGGCAGUUCCGGAUGUGUGCACGUCGUGUGCGCACUUCGCGGGGAUUGCUUUUGUGGUCUUGCGUAGGAUGAGGCACUUUUAUUAGUGAACGUCCUCACGCAACCACUUUUUACUGUGAGAAAAUCAGAGUGCUCAAAGCAGGCAUUUGCCGUGAAUGUAUUAGCAUGGAAUAAUCGAAUAGGACUUGGUUCUAUUUUGUUGGUUUGUUGGGACUGAGUAAUGAUUAAGAGGGACAGUUGGGGGCAUUUGUAUUUCGGUGCUAGAGGUGAAAUUCUUAGAUUACCGAAAGACAAACUGCUGCGAAAGCGUCUGCCAAGGAUGUUUUCAUUGA